UGGUGGAGUGAUUUGUCUGGUUGAUUCCGUUAACGAACGAGAUCUCGACCCUUAAAUAGGUAUGCUCGUCGACGUCGGCCUGAGGUCAGCUUCGGCUGUCACCUCUUGCCAAGACAGUGCAACUACUUCUUAAGGGGACUGCGUGCGCUUUUAGUACGCGGAAGAGCGAGCCAAUAGCA
RNAcentral lists this ribosomal RNA (179 nucleotides) under uncultured eukaryote. RNAcentral describes it as "partial 18S ribosomal RNA". It matches the Rfam family "Eukaryotic small subunit ribosomal RNA", at positions 1299 to 1458 of the family's 1831-position model. The record is from RNAcentral.